RNAcentral lists this ribosomal RNA (550 nucleotides) under uncultured Bacteroidales bacterium. RNAcentral describes it as "bacterial SSU rRNA". It matches the Rfam family "Bacterial small subunit ribosomal RNA", at positions 173 to 725 of the family's 1533-position model. Lineage: Bacteria; Pseudomonadati; Bacteroidota; Bacteroidia; Bacteroidales. The record is from RNAcentral.
GCAGGGAUCCCGCAUGGGAAUAUUUGCUAAAGAUUCAUCGCUGAUAGAUAGGCAUGCGUUCCAUUAGGCAGUUGGCGGGGUAACGGCCCACCAUACCGACGAUGGAUAGGGGUUCUGAGAGGAAGGUCCCCCACAUUGGUACUGAGACACGGACCAAACUCCUACGGGGGGCAGCAGUGAGGAAUAUUGGUCAAUGGCCGAGAGGCUGAACCAGCCAAGUCGCGUGAGGGAUGAAGGUUCUAUGGAUCGUAAACCUCUUUUAUAAGGGAAUAAAGUGCGGGACGUGUCCCGUUUUGUAUGUACCUUAUGAAUAAGGAUCGGCCAACUCCGUGCCAGCAGCCGCGGUAAUACGGAGGAUUCGAGCGUUAUCCGGAUUUAUUGGGUUUAAAGGGUGCGUAGGCGGCCUUUUAAGUCAGCGGUGAAAGUCUGUGGCUCAACCAUAGAAUUGCCGUUGAAACUGGGGGGCUUGAGUAUGUUUGAGGCAGGCGGAAUGCGUGGUGUAGCGGUGAAAUGCAUAGAUAUCACGCAGAACCCCGAUUGCGAAGGCAGC